This 293-nucleotide ribosomal RNA is filed under the name uncultured eukaryote. RNAcentral describes it as "partial 18S ribosomal RNA". It matches the Rfam family "Eukaryotic small subunit ribosomal RNA", at positions 6 to 317 of the family's 1831-position model. The record is from RNAcentral.
GGUUGAUCCUGCCAGUAGUCAUAUGCUUGUCCCAAAGAUUAAGCCAUGCAUGUCCAAGUAUAAACCCUUGUACGGUGAAACUGCGAACGGCUCAUUAUAACAGUGACAAUUUACUUGAAGAAUAUUUACCAGAGGAUAACCGUGGUAAUUCUAGGGCUAAUACAUGCAUAUUGCAUUUAUUAGAUGGACCAGAGUGCGGGAGGGGCAACUCUCUCGCAUCAGGUGAAACAUAAUAACUGGGCGGAUCGCAUGGCAUUGACCGGCGACGCUUCAAGCAAGUCUCUGCCCUAUCA